RNAcentral lists this ribosomal RNA (243 nucleotides) under Piscirickettsia salmonis LF-89 = ATCC VR-1361. RNAcentral's name for it is "partial 23S ribosomal RNA". It matches the Rfam family "Bacterial large subunit ribosomal RNA", at positions 2705 to 2925 of the family's 2925-position model. Lineage: Bacteria; Pseudomonadati; Pseudomonadota; Gammaproteobacteria; Thiotrichales; Piscirickettsiaceae. The record is from RNAcentral.
ACCUCUGGUGUUCCGGUUGUGUCGCCAGACGCAUUGCCGGGUAGCUAUGUUCGGAAUAGAUAACCGCUGAAAGCAUCUAAGCGGGAAGCUAGCCUCAAGAUGAGAUCUCCCUGAGGGCUUGACCCUCCUAAAGGCUCGUCUAAGACUAAGACGUUGAUAGGUUGGAUGUGGAAGUGCAGUAAUGUAUGAAGCUAACCAAUACUAAUUCGCCGUGAGGCUUGGUCAUAUAACCCCAAGGGGUUU